Callithrix jacchus (white-tufted-ear marmoset) is the source of this 148-nucleotide unclassified non-coding RNA. It matches the Rfam family "Metazoan signal recognition particle RNA". Rfam says of the family: The signal recognition particle (SRP) is a universally conserved ribonucleoprotein. It is involved in the co-translational targeting of proteins to membranes. The record is from Ensembl. NCBI's taxonomy places the organism in Eukaryota, Metazoa, Chordata, Mammalia, Primates, Cebidae.
GCUGGGUGUGGUGGCCCGUGCCUGUAAUCCCAGCUACUCGGGAGGCUGAGGCAGGAGAAUCAUUUGAACCCAGGAGGUGGAAGUUGCAGUGAGCCAAAAUUGCGCCACUGCAUUCCAGCCUGGGUGACAGAGUGAGACUCUGUCUCAA